GAGAGGAGGUGCGGUGGUUGCAGAAAGAUAGCUCAGGCGAUCUUUUUGAGGAAAGUCCGGACUCCCCAAAGACCAAACUUGCUGGGUAACUCCCAGUGUAGGUGACUGCGAGGAUAGUGCCACAGAAAAAUACCGCCAAUUUUAAAAGAAUGAAGGAAGAAGGACAAAGAAUGAAGGAUCAUUAAUUCCUCGUUCCUUACUCCUCAAUUCUCAUUCCUUAGUUUGGUAAGGGUGCAAAGGUGUCGGUAAGAGCGCACCAGCAACAUCGAGAGGUGUUGGCUUGGUAAACCCCAGUUGGGAGCAAGGUCGAAGAGAUUAUGGUUGGUCUUUUUCCAAUCUCGCUUUAGGUGAACCGCUUGAGAUGUUUGGUAACAGCCAUCCCAGAUAGAUAACCGCCCUAGAAAGGCUAUGUAGUCUCUUCUAGAACAGAAUCCGGCUUACAACUCUCUCUCUCUA
RNAcentral lists this RNase P RNA (456 nucleotides) under Hyella patelloides LEGE 07179. RNAcentral's name for it is "Hyella sp. LEGE 07179 Bacterial RNase P class A". It matches the Rfam family "Bacterial RNase P class A". From Rfam's summary of the family: Ribonuclease P (RNase P) is a ubiquitous endoribonuclease, found in archaea, bacteria and eukarya as well as chloroplasts and mitochondria. The record is from Rfam by way of RNAcentral. Lineage: Bacteria; Bacillati; Cyanobacteriota; Cyanophyceae; Pleurocapsales; Pleurocapsaceae.